GUCCCGAUAGCUUAAAUGGUAGAGCACGGAGCUGAAGAUUCUGAGGAGAGGGUUCAAUUCCUUCUUGGGACA
Kwoniella shivajii is the source of this 72-nucleotide non-coding RNA. The record is from the annotation of a RefSeq genome assembly. Lineage: Eukaryota; Fungi; Basidiomycota; Tremellomycetes; Tremellales; Cryptococcaceae.